UAGGCCCCGUCCCCUCCGGGGGGCGGGUCGCCGGGGUUCCGCCUCGGAUCGGAGUACAUGAUUGAUAGGGACGGUCGGGGUCGAUUGCACCGGGCGGCGAGGGGUGAAAUCCUAGGACCCGCCCGAGGCAAACGGGUGCGAAGGCGUUCGACAAGGACGUUUUCAUUAAUCAAGAACGAAAGUUGGGGGAUCGAAGAUGAUCAGAUACCGUCGUAGUCUCGACUAUAAACGAUGCCGACCGGGGGCCCGUAAACGUUACGCAGUACGACUCUACGGGCCCCCUCCUCCGAGAAAUCUCGAGUAUUCGGGUUCCGGGGGGAGUACGGUCGCAAGGCUGAAACUUAAAGGAAUUGACGGAAGGGCACCACCAGGAGUGGAACCUGCGGCUUAAUUUGACUCAACGCGGGAAAACUCACCGGGUCCGGACAUGGUUAGGAUUGACAGAUUGAGGGAUCUUUCUCGAUUCCAUGGAAAGUGGUGCAUGGCCGUUUCUAGUUGGUGGAUCGAUCCGUCUGGUUUAUUCCGUUAACGAACGAGACCUCGACCUGCCGAGUAGGCCGGCGAACCGGGGUCGGGUCCUCCGGGUCCCGUCCUUUGGGUUCGUUUACGGUCCCGACGACCGUCGGGCCGUCGGCGGCGCGAGCGUCCGGGGGAGACCCGUCGGGCAACCGUCGGGAGGAACCAGGUCGCGGACGUCGUCGGACCUUCUCGGAGGGACCACCCGCCUUACACAAGCGGGGGGAAGCUCGAGGCCAAAACAGGUCUGUGAUGCCCUUAGAUGUUCCGGGCUGCACGCGCGUUACAGUGACACGAACAACAAGCCUCGUCGUCCUUCCCCGAAGGGGGCGGGAAAUCUCCAGAUUGCGUCGCGGUGGGGACAGACCAUUGCAACUAUUGAUCUCGAACCAGGAAUUCCUAGUAGGCGCGGGUCAUCAGCCCGCGCCGAUUACGUCCCUGCCCUUUGUACACACCGCCCGUCGCUCCUACCGAUCGAACGAUCCGGCGAGGACUUGGGAGGGCAGGUCAGCCCCGCGGCCGAAAUGCUACGGGGCCCCGGUCCGAACUCGUUCGAACCUUAUCGUUUAGAGGAAGGAGAAGUCGUAACAAGGUUUCCCGUA
RNAcentral lists this ribosomal RNA (1118 nucleotides) under Netzelia wailesi. RNAcentral describes it as "SSU rRNA". It matches the Rfam family "Eukaryotic small subunit ribosomal RNA", at positions 823 to 1807 of the family's 1831-position model. Lineage: Eukaryota; Tubulinea; Elardia; Arcellinida; Netzeliidae. RNAcentral also lists the same sequence under 1 other name. The record is from RNAcentral.